This 253-nucleotide ribosomal RNA is filed under the name uncultured bacterium. RNAcentral's name for it is "partial 16S ribosomal RNA". It matches the Rfam family "Bacterial small subunit ribosomal RNA", at positions 524 to 776 of the family's 1533-position model. The record is from RNAcentral.
UACGAAGGGGGCUAGCGUUAAUCGGAAUUACUGGGCGUAAAGCGUGCGCAGGCGGUUUUGUAAGCCAGGUGUGAAAUCCCCGGGCUCAACCUGGGAAUGGCAUUUGGGACUGCAAGGCUGGAGUGCGGCAGAGGAGACUGGAAUUCCUGGUGUAGCAGUGAAAUGCGUAGAUAUCAGGAGGAACACCGAUGGCGAAGGCAGGUCUCUGGGCUGACACUGACGCUCAUGCACGAAAGCGUGGGGAGCAAACAGG